UGUGUUCCAGUGAGCGUUUUUCAGAACCGAAUCACUUCCCCGUUCAGAACCUCCCCGUCGGAUCCUCCAAAGGAGAUCGUUCUUCAGAACACAGUCACUUUUCCAUCGGAUCCUCUAAAGGAAUUGAUGAUCAUGCUUCAUCUAUAUCACUGGCCCAACUUUCAAAGUCUGAAGGAGACGCACACUUGCUGCUGCUGCUUACACUCGU
Oncorhynchus keta (chum salmon) is the source of this 208-nucleotide long non-coding RNA. RefSeq lists it as uncharacterized. The record is from RefSeq and is a predicted model, not a curated record. The transcript has 3 exons. Lineage: Eukaryota; Metazoa; Chordata; Actinopteri; Salmoniformes; Salmonidae.